ACACUAAAUGAUGAAGAGAUGAUGGGAUACAUAUUGAAUGGCCUUGAUCCUGAUUUUAAUUCUUUAGUUUCUGCUCUUAUAACCAGGGUUGAACCUAUCUCCUUGUCUGAGUUGUACUCCCAAUUGGUAAGCUUUGAGA
RNAcentral lists this small nucleolar RNA (139 nucleotides) under Setaria italica (foxtail millet). RNAcentral describes it as "Small nucleolar RNA Z247". It matches the Rfam family "Small nucleolar RNA Z247". From Rfam's summary of the family: Z247 is a member of the C/D class of snoRNA which contain the C (UGAUGA) and D (CUGA) box motifs. Most of the members of the box C/D family function in directing site-specific 2'-O-methylation of substrate RNAs. The record is from Rfam by way of RNAcentral. Lineage: Eukaryota; Viridiplantae; Streptophyta; Magnoliopsida; Poales; Poaceae.